AGCGAACGCUGGCGGCAGGCCUAACACAUGCAAGUCGAGCGGCCGUAGCAAUACGGCAGCGGCAGACGGGAGAGUAACACGUGGGAACGUACCCUUUGGUUCGGAACAACCCGGGGAAACUUGGGCUAAUACCGAAUAAGCCCUCACGGGGAAAGAUUUAUCGCCGAAGGAUCGGCCCGCGUCUGAUUAGCUAGUUGGUGGGGUAAUGGCCCACCAAGGCGACGAUCAGUAGCUGGUCUGAGAGGAUGAUCAGCCUCACUGGGACUGAGACACGGCCCAGACUCCUACGGGAGGCAGCAGUGGGGAAUAUUGGACAAUGGGCGCAAGCCUGAUCCAGCCAUGCCGCGUGGGUGAUGAAGGCCCUAGGGUUGUAAAGCCCUUUCGGCGGGGAAGAUAAUGACGGUACCCGCAGAAGAAGCCCCGGCUAACUUCGUGCCAGCAGCCGCGGUAA
This 451-nucleotide ribosomal RNA is filed under the name uncultured bacterium. Its description in RNAcentral is "partial 16S ribosomal RNA". It matches the Rfam family "Bacterial small subunit ribosomal RNA", at positions 29 to 523 of the family's 1533-position model. The record is from RNAcentral.